RNAcentral lists this ribosomal RNA (440 nucleotides) under uncultured bacterium. RNAcentral's name for it is "partial 16S ribosomal RNA". It matches the Rfam family "Bacterial small subunit ribosomal RNA", at positions 338 to 795 of the family's 1533-position model. The record is from RNAcentral.
CCUACGGGAGGCAGCAGUGGGGAAUAUUGCACAAUGGGGGAAACCCUGAUGCAGCGACGCCGCGUGAGUGAAGAAGUAGUUCGGUAUGUAAAGCCCUAUCAGCAGGGAAGAAAAUGACGGUACCUGAUUAAGAAGCCCCGGCUAACGACGUGCCAGCAGCCGAGGUAAUACGUAGGGGGCAAGCGUUAUCCGGAUUUACUGGGUGUAAAGGGAGCGUAGACGGCAGCACAAGUCUGGAGUGAAAUGCCGGGGCUUAACCCCGGAACUGCUUUUGAAACUGUGCAGCUAGAGUGCAGGAGAGGUAAGUGGAAUGCGUAGUGUAGCGGUGAAAUGCGUAGAUAUUAGGAGGAACACCAGUGGCGAAGGCGGCUUACUGGACUGUAACUGACGUUGAGGCUCGAAAGCGUGGGGAGCGAACAGGAUUAGAUACCCCAGUAGUC